UGCAAAGCAUAUUGCCGAAGACAGUAGGUGCCGUAAGGCGUAACCGUAGUACCUACCGAGGGAAUUUUUGAGAUGACUAUCAUCUUUAAAAUGACUAAUACCUCUCUGUCGAUGGCAGAGAGGUUUCUUUGUUUA
This 135-nucleotide small RNA is filed under the name uncultured Agathobacter sp. Its description in RNAcentral is "Ribosomal protein L10 leader". It matches the Rfam family "Ribosomal protein L10 leader". From Rfam's summary of the family: This family is a putative r-protein leader autoregulatory structure found in B. subtilis and other low-GC Gram-positive bacteria. It is located in the 5' untranslated regions of mRNAs encoding ribosomal proteins L10 and L12 (rplJ-rplL). Lineage: Bacteria; Bacillati; Bacillota; Clostridia; Lachnospirales; Lachnospiraceae. The record is from RNAcentral.